UGACCCUGGAGGACAAGAGCAUUCUUCUGACAAGUUUUAGCAUGGACUAUCCUCAGGAAAAUGAGAUCCAGGAAGAGUGACGCCCUCCUCGAACUGAAAGAUACUCAGGUUGAUGGAGUCAGGGACGAAGUGGCUUAUCAACAACACAGGAUGUCUGCAGGGAACAGAACUUAUUCAGACAUGGCCCAGAUUGUCUGCCCGUGGGGACUGAGGGACCUCUGAGGGUUACAUCAGGAAGGAAGGAGAGGCUGUUUCUACAGGUGCCACAGAAAAAUCGAUGCUGAGCCUCGGAUUAUUGGAUCCCAUAGAACCGUGGAGACUUGGCAGUGAAAUUCUUCCAAAGCAUUCCAUCUGCGCAGGCAGGCAGAGGUUUUCCUGGUUUGGGAAGUAUAAAUCCCGUGGGAAGUCAACUGGAGGACAUUUUACGCGUCACUCAUCCUAUUAUGAGCCUGCUGCUCCUCCGUCUCUUGACAAGUUGGCAGCUAAAGGACAGGAGCAGCAAUAAGGCUUCCUGGCUACAUUUUCAUGGUGCCACCAACUGCGAGUUAAGCUGACAAACAUUUUGAGAGCUCGGCCCAUUUCAUUCCCAGCAGGAUGGCAGGAGUUAACUAAAACAGAAUAAACUAAAAAUUGUGCCUUCAUUGCACAUUUGCACUGAUUAUCAGCACUGAAAAUGGCUAAGUUCUGCUUAUCAAGGAAAUAAUAUGCUCCAGAGAAUCCUCUAAUUCACCGAAAAUGGACUUGGAUAACAUUUGGGUUCUCAUACUACCACAGUCCUCUUGA
RNAcentral lists this long non-coding RNA (783 nucleotides) under Mus musculus (house mouse). The record is from RNAcentral. Lineage: Eukaryota; Metazoa; Chordata; Mammalia; Rodentia; Muridae.